CCGCGAAUUCGCCCUUCUGGUUGAUCCUGCCAGAGGUCACUGCUAUCGGUGUUCGACUAAGCCAUGCGAGUCAAAUGUUCUUCGUGAACAUGGCGUACUGCUCAUGUAACACGUGGAUAACCUGCCCUUAGGACUGGCAUAACCCCGGGAAACUGGGGAUAAUUCCGGAUAGUUCAUGGUAGCUGGAAUGCUCCAUGAUCGAAAGCUAUUGCGCCUAANGAUGGGUCUGCGGUCUAUCANGUANUAGUGGGUGUAAUGUACCUACUAGCCGACGACGGAUACNGGUUGUGGGAGCAAGANCCCGGAGAUGGAUUCUGAGACAUGAAUCCAGGCCCUACGGGGCGCANCAGGCGCNAAAACUUUACAAUGCGGGAAACCGCNAUAAGGGGACACCGAGUGCCAGCAUCUUAUGUUGGCUGUCCGCAUGUAUAAAUCACAUGUGUUAGCAAGGGCCGGGCAAGACCGGUGCCAGCCGCCGCGGUAACACCGGCGGCCCGAGUGGUGGCCACUAUUAUUGGGUCUAAAGGGUCCGUANCCGGUUUGGUCAGUCUUCCGGGAAAUCUGACGGCUUAACCGUUAGGCUUUCGGGGGAUACU
RNAcentral lists this ribosomal RNA (596 nucleotides) under uncultured archaeon. RNAcentral describes it as "bacterial SSU rRNA". It matches the Rfam family "Archaeal small subunit ribosomal RNA", at positions 1 to 585 of the family's 1478-position model. The record is from RNAcentral.